This 1270-nucleotide long non-coding RNA is filed under the name Sus scrofa (pig). RNAcentral describes it as "lncRNA (ENSSSCG00000056596.1)". Lineage: Eukaryota; Metazoa; Chordata; Mammalia; Artiodactyla; Suidae. The record is from RNAcentral.
GGAGGGGGCGGGGGCUGUUCUGCUUAGUUUCAUCAGGUGGAGGUGACAGAGCUGAACCCAGUGGGAAUGACAAGAGCACAACUCUUUUAGCACCAGAAGGAGCUUUAAAUAACUGGAGCCCCCCACCCCUGGCUCCUGAUUGGGGGGAGGAAGCAGAGGACACGUGCAUUCAGACGCCCCCUGGGCGUUUGCGGGAGGGUGCUGGCUGGAAGGAUGGAAGUCCUGGGUGUAUGCACUCAUUCCCACGAGCUAAUUGGCUCUUUCUAAGGGAAAAUCACUGGAUGUCCCUUUUAGCAGCCGAGGGUUUUGUUGGUGGUGGGGGGAAACCUCACAAGGGGCUGUGUCUCCCCAGAUGGGCUCUGGCGGGUCUGUGGGCGGCCGCGCUUCCACCCGGCCCUGGUCACUUGGCUCUUGAAUGAAUCACGAGGGGAGAGCAAAUGGUAAACCUCCCUCUCAUUUGGAAACAUGAAUCACAGCUCAUUGUUCCCCCAGUUCUUCAGAUCUGUUAGAAGCAUUGUUUGUAAAUGAGACCGUUAUUUUUUAUUUUGCAAAAUCAGGAGAGGAGUAAACAGCUGAUCUGUUGCUUCCUUAGCAAAGGCAGGAAAUGCUGGUUCCUUGGUUUCAUCGCCGUGGGUGGGGGGUGGGGGGAGGGCCACCUGUGAAAUGUACCAGCCUGUUAAUUUCCUCCUUUGGGGUGGAGUUUGGAGGGUCAGUGUUUACAGACCUGGCUUAUUACCACAGGCGUGAACUUUGACCUAGCUGUCACACUGAGGGGUUGGGACAGGUGAACCUUUCCGUCAUCCUCCAGCGAGGCAGUCUUGUGUCCCAACACCAGUAAAAUUGUGUCCAUAGGGCUGCUCCUGAGAUUAGGUGAAAAGAUGCAGUGUGUCCCAUCUCAGGAGGGAGUGGGAGGCAGAAAAAGCCCCCCGAAUGUCCAUGCCCCACUCCCCAAGACUUGUGAACAUGAUGUGUGAUUUUGCAGCUGUGAUUGUGGUUACCACCCCCCCCCCCGAGGGGGGGCGAUUAUCCUCACAUGGGCCCCCAAAGCAGAGAAUCUUUUCUGGCUGGGAAAGGAAUCCGACUAGGAACCAUGAGAUUGCAGGUUUGAUCCCUGGUCUUGCUCAGUGGGUUAAGGACCCGGCGUUGCUGCGAGCUCUGGUGUAAUUUGCAGACCUGGUUUGGAUCCUGUGUUGCUGUGGCUGUGGUGCAGGCCAGCCGCUGUAGCUCCGAUUCGACCCCUAGCCUGGGACCCUCCCUAUGCCACUGGUGC